AGCAGCCGCGGUAAUUCCAGCUCCAAUAGCGUAUAUUAAAGUUGCUGCAGUUAAAAAGCUCGUAGUUGAAUUUCGGGACCAUCAUGUCGGUCGUGCCUCGGUACGUACUGGCAUUGUUGGUUUCUACCUUCUGACGAACCAUGAUGUCAUUUAUUUGGUGUCGUGGGGAAUCAGGACUGUUACUUUGAAAAAAUUAGAGUGUUUAAAGCAGGCAUUAGCUUGAAUACAUUAGCAUGGAAUAAUGAAAUAGGACGUUCGAACCUAUUUUGUUGGUUUUAGGAUCAACGUAAUGAUUAAUAGGGAUAGUUGGGGGCAUUAGUAUUCAAUUGUCAGAGGUGAAAUUCUUGGAUUUAUUGAAGACUAACUACUGCGAAAGCAUUUGCCAAGGAUGUCUUCAUUAAUCAAGAACGAAAGUUAAGGGGAUCGAAGACGAUCAGAUACCGUCGUAGUCUUAACCAUAAACUAUGCCGACUAGGGAUCGGAUGAU
RNAcentral lists this ribosomal RNA (487 nucleotides) under uncultured Glomus. Its description in RNAcentral is "SSU rRNA". It matches the Rfam family "Eukaryotic small subunit ribosomal RNA", at positions 569 to 1061 of the family's 1831-position model. The record is from RNAcentral. Lineage: Eukaryota; Fungi; Glomeromycota; Glomeromycetes; Glomerales; Glomeraceae.